GCAUUCUUCUAAACAGAGAGUCAUAUUCAGACCAUGAACUGCCUGAUGAUCUUCAUGCUAGUGGCUCUUUUAGUCAUUGCUUGUGGAAUACAAGAGGCAUCUGCAUCUCUACACUUAUGUUUCAUUAGUGGGGAUGCUGUAAAUGAUACCGGCCAGAGUCUUGACAAUGGCCACUGAGGAUCCCAUGGAACAUUCACCAAGAGUAGGGACUAGGGGGUGUUAACCCCUGUGUCUUGCCCAGAUGCCCAACUGGCAACUCCUACUGAAUUGAUUCCUGUUUGACCCUUUUGUCAUGAUUUGUACUUCCCUUUUGCGGAAUAAAAUUGCAAUGAGAAAACAC
Salvelinus namaycush (lake trout) is the source of this 340-nucleotide long non-coding RNA. RefSeq lists it as uncharacterized. NCBI's taxonomy places the organism in Eukaryota, Metazoa, Chordata, Actinopteri, Salmoniformes, Salmonidae. The transcript has 3 exons. The record is from RefSeq and is a predicted model, not a curated record.